CUUUGUGCCCUGCGUGCCGGGCGCGCGCUUAGUAGGCCGCGAGUUGAGUUGGCUGGAGGCAUUGAGUUAGCUCGAGAACCUUUGCAGCGUUGAGUGGAGGAACGAGCCUUCAGUUCUUGCCCUACUCCCCUCAGGUCACGGUUCCCCGCCAGCAAGCCGGGCCCCCAUGUCUGGCCCGGGGAUAGCCCUCACAGAACCGCGCGCCCCUCGGACACAGCCCUCCCCGAGGCCGCCUGGGCUGCCGGGCCCGAGCUCCGGGGCUGACGGCCUGGGAGGCGUGGGAAGGGUCCUGGUAGGCCCCUUCCCAGGACGCAGCUUACCUGGGGCCGCUCUGCCUUGCGCUCGUGGCUUGUGUCCUGUGGCCUUCCCAGAGGGAGGUGGGGAAGGGAGAGGGACUUCAGCCUCCAGGGGCUGUGGGAAAACUUGGCCAACUUUUUGGCCCACUUCUAACAAGCCGACUUGAUCUUAUUUUUCCUACUCUUAUUUUUCCCCUCGUCCUGAUUUUCUCACCGACUUGUUUUUUUACCUUGUACUACGCGUAUUUUUGUAAGCCACCUCAAAUCCUCUCUGGAAGGAGGCAGGUAUAAAUACAUUUGUGGGCAAAUAUGGUAGCUUGCUUCUCUUCAGGAUUACCCACACCCUUGUAAUCCACCUAACUACCCACUGACCUCCAUGCUUUCUGGAUUAGAGAUGCCCUGAAUUCCCUUCCUUUCCUUUCCUUCCUCCUUCAUUAAGUAUUAAGCAGCAGGGUGAGUGGUAGAGAGAAAAAGAGAUAAAUAAGAUACAGUCUCUGCUCCAGCAAGUUUCGUAUUUAGAGGAAUCAGAACCAGGAACACACCAGAGAAAGUGGAGGAGCAAUCCAGGCGAUGCCAUGAGGCAGAAUGCGUGCAUUCAUUCAUUCAUUCAUUCAGUACCUACUGAGGGCCUACUGUGUACCAAGAACUGGUCCAAACUCUUAGGGUACAAGCAGUGAACAAAGUAAAGUUCCCUGGGCUCUUGAAACUUAAGACGAGGGGGUCAGGCCCUUAAACAGAGGCUCAGUAGAUGCUACAGAGGGAGAGAGGAUGGGAACUCAGGGUAGUCAGGGAAGUUAGUCUGCUGGAGGAGAUGGGCUGGAGCAAGCCUUGAGCUGGCCAUGAUGGCAUUUGGAUAAGUGGGAGCUAUGGGGAGCAUGCAGGAAGAAAGAGCUAUUCUAGGCCUGGGGCAUCAACCUGGUUGGUUAAGGCCUGAGGAAUCCCAGGGGAAUUGGUCACGUCAGAACUGGUCUUCCCCACAUGAAAUAUUUUCUUAUUGUCAGAGUUGGGUUACGCAGUUUCCACAAGGACAACCCAGUGAACUUGAGGAACCCAACAGGAAUGGGGAGUUCCGAUCAACUUUGUAUUACAGGACAGCUGAAGGUUAAGCUCAUUUUCCCCUCAGCUGUUGCACUUCUUCCUGAUGUUUGCUCGUUCUUCCCCAGCCUCGCUAAGUGGUGGGAGCCUGACAAUCUCCCAGUCCAAGCUUGGAAAUGCAGAGGUUGUAGUAGGUUGGGGUGUCCCUUAAGCCUUCCCUAGGGAUUCAUGUCUCAGUACAUCUUUCCAGUCAGCAUAUUUACUUCUCAAUUUACAUUUUCUGAGUCAGCUACAGCUUUUAGAAGAGUCGAGAGAAAGACCACUGUGAAUGGUUUCAUGUAGUGUUUGGGUUAGUCGAGGUUUUCUGCAAGUCCCAGGGAUGAGGUUUGAUAAUGUUCUAUGUCCAGCCCAACAUGAAAGGUAGAUGGGAGGAGGUGGGAAGAAGAGGAACAAGAAUAGUUUAGCCUAUUGCCCAAACCAGGAUAUUUUUAAAGUAAACAUUUACUGAUGAAAAGUGUACAUGCAGAAAAUGUACAAUCUUGUGUCAGCGCAAUGCAUUCUUUUUUUAAGAUUUUAUUUAUUCAUUUGAGACAGAUACAGAGAGAGAGAGAGCGUGAGCAGGCGAGAGGCAGAGGGCGAGGGAGAAGCAGGCUCCCCGCCGAGCCAGGGGCCAGACGUGGGGCUCCAUCCCAGGACCCUGGGAUCAUGACCUGAGCCAAAGGCAGAUGCUUUACAAUCUGAGCCACCCAGGUGCCCCAAUGCAUUUAAAAAAAAAAAAAAAAGACUUUAUUUGAGAGAGAGUGAGAGCAAGAGAGAUCACAGAGGGAGCGGGAAAAGCAGAGUCCUCGAUGCAGGGCUCGAUCCCAGGACCCGGAGAUCAUGACCCAAGCCAAAGGCAGACGCUUAACCGACUGAGCCACCUAGGUGCCCCCUCAAUGCACCUUCAUAGAGGGAACACCCUUGUGUCACCAGCACCCAGAUCAAGAAACCAUCUCCAGCCCCCCUUAGGUACUACCAUCCCCACUUCUAAGAGCUUCCUGUACUUUCCCCUUUUACAUACAUUGUAUGGACGGAAUCAUAAGUGACAUACUCCUGAGUUCGUUUCCUUUGCUCAACAUUAUGUCUGAGUUUCAUCCAUGUGGUGGCAUGUGGCUGCAGAAUGUUCCUUCUCCUUGCUGCACAGUUAUGUUGUGUGACUGGGCCACAGUUUAUGUAUCUAUUCUGUUGAAGGGCAUUUGGAUGGGCUCUGGUUUGGGGUUAUUACAAAUAGUACCGCUGUGAAUGUUCCAGAAUAUGUCUUGGUGAUUAGAUGUGCAAAUUUCUGCUGAGUACAUGCCUAGGGAAGGAAUUCUUGGAUCAUAGGAUAGGUACGCCCAGCUAUUAUAGGCGAGCAGGACACUUACGAGUAAAAGGGGGUACUUAGUAGUCGUGACCAGACAGUGGGCGUACACCCGGGAAUGACCCAGGGCCAUAUCAACCAGGAUAGACCCACACAACUCAAAUAUAGGGUCACCCUGGCGCACAGUGUUUGACCACUCUCUCGGAGAGUCACCCAGCUACUUAGAGCAUCUGGUCAUCUGGCAGGGUCAGGUCUCCAGGCCCUGCUGACCCCAAGUUCUGCUGCCAGGAGGCCUGGCCGGCCUAGAAUGGGAGGAGAGCCUCUUCUGCUUCCAACUUUCAAGGGAAAACCUCUCCAAUGAAUUGGAAGGCCCAGGAGGCAGGCACCCCAAUGCGCUGAGCUAGCUACCCACGCUGCAUGGACUUUGUCAGCUUUCUUCUUCAGGGCUGAAACCCAGGAAAGCCCCGCUCCUCUCUAGCCUCAGAAAACCCCGAGGAAAAGGAGUUUAUGAGCACAUACUAAAUGCAUAUGUGUUCUCAGAUCCCUCAAUACCCCUCCCAGGUCAGUAAUGCUGUUGCCCCCAUCAUACAGGUGUCAAAACUGAGGCUCAGGGAGAUGAAACAGAUUGGUAUUCUGCUUUCUAUUCCCAGGUUCGGUGGGCUUGCUGCUUUCUCCCAGCCCGGCCAGAUGGAUCCCUCCAGGCACCAAGAGAGGCACCAGGGAUGUGGCCUUGAACUAGGCUCAGUACGGGCAGUCACCUUCCCACUCGUCACUGUGCCCCAGGUCCCGGCAGGGUACGUGGCACCCACGUGGCCCUCAGUGCACAUCUGUGGAGCAAAGGGAACUCGACACCCAGCGUGGGGCUCCAGUUCACAACCGCGAGAUCAAGAGCCCGCCAGGCAUCCUCCAAUAGGCAGAAUUUAUUGAACAUCCACCACACCAGGAACAUUCUUUCAUGGCUAUGGUUUCUUUUUUAAAAUUUAAUUUUAUGUAUUUAUGUAUUUUUUAUGUUUUUAUGUUCAUGGUUAUAGUGUUUAACAGUUACAACUCCCCAGGGUGGGUACAAGCGCUCUCACUUUACAGAUGGAACAGUGAGACCCAGGGAGGUUAGAUGACUUGCCCAAGAUCACACAGCAAGUAAGUGCAGAAGGAGCUUUGUUCCAGGUCUGCAUGGGAUCUAAAGCCGCUGUUCUUUCCAGGUCUGGUGGUUACUUCCCCAACAGGGUGUGUGGACUGUAAGGGAAGUGACAGCAGUUCAGGGGUGGCACUGGGUGGG
This is a long non-coding RNA of Mirounga angustirostris (Northern elephant seal), 3946 nucleotides long. RefSeq lists it as uncharacterized. The record is from RefSeq and is a predicted model, not a curated record. NCBI's taxonomy places the organism in Eukaryota, Metazoa, Chordata, Mammalia, Carnivora, Phocidae. The transcript is spliced from 3 exons.